UUCCCCUGAUUAUUCUAGUUCGCAUUAUUUCAGCAGCAUAUUAUCAGAACCCAAAGAGCUCUAACAAAAUACUGAUGCCCAAGCAUCAUUCUCAGAGAUUCUAAUUUAAUCAGUUUGGGUUAGGGCCUAAGCAAAUUAUAUUUUUAAAAAAGUUCCCAAGGUAUUUAUUCUAUAUUUUUAUUAUUUAUUUAUUUGUUUAUGGAGAAAGAGUGAGAGGAACCUAAGGUGUUUCUAAUGUGCAAUCAGAGUUAAAAACCAUUGUCCUAGUUAGAAGACAUCUCUCCUAUCGUUGAGCCGCCAUAACAUUUUAUCUAAGUAUCUUUUAUGACACAUAAUUUCUAGCUCUUUUUAUAGACAUUUUAGUUUUAAAAUAUUUUAUUGUUUAUUUUGUAGCAGGCACUAUUCUAGGCACUGGCAUAUAAAUAACAGUGAUUAAGACAAAGCACCUGCUCUCAUGGAGCUUACAUUCUGUCUGAUGGGGACACAGAUACUAAACAAGUAAUACAAGGUCAGGUUAUAAGUGUUACUAAAAGCAGGGCAAAGGGAUGGAGAAUAAGAGGAGCAGUCCCCUUUUAGAGAGGGUAGUUAGGAACAGCUUUCCUUAUUGCAAUCUUAGCUCCCUUUUAGACAGCACAUUGCUUAACAACAAAACCUGCAUCUAACUCAUGUUUGUAUGUCUCACAGUUUUUUGCACAGUGCUUGGCACAUAACAGGUGCUCAAUAAAUAGAUACUUGUUAUAUGAAUGAACAAAAGAAUGAGUGAGUGAAUGGAUCAAUGUGCCUUAUUAAUAGCUGUAUCCCCCAUAAUGCCCAGGGCUGUAUUUGAAAUACACCAGAUGCUCAAUAGAUAUUGGCUGAGUGAGUGAAUUUGACUGAAUUUUGGAACAAGUUUAUUGUGAUGGCACAUUUCCUGGGACUAGGCCAUCACAGGAACACAGGAUAUCAAGCUAAUCCUGAGAUUGAUGUGCCCAAACUCCUCAUUUUAAGGACAAAACUGAUGUUCAGACAGAUGAUUACCUACCUGGCUCAAGAUCACAGAAUAAAUCAAGCAAAAACUGACCUGAGUGCCUACUUCUGACUCUUAGUCCAGUGCUCAUUCCAUCGAACUGAAAUACUUUUCCCAUUAUCAUCAGAAAACUAUUCUGAGGGUCAUUAACUUAAUCAGCCCAAGAAAUAACUCAGAUUAGCAUCAGUAAAACUAAAGAAAAUCUCAAUUUCCUUUGCUGAUAGCUCAAAAAUAGCACUUUUAACAGACCGGCUGCCCUACUCCACCAUUCCCAGCAAGGUAAGAAGACAAGACUUCCCAGAGCAGGCAAGGGGUCAGUGAAUUUCCAACUAUAAAUACAACUCUGAACCUUUCCCCUUUUCUAUCCUUAGCCACAUAUGCAAUGAGAUAUGGAACAACCACCCCAGGCUGAACAGGAAAGGCAACAUAAAAAAAACCAGUGGCUGAGAAACCAGAGAGGAACUGAAGGCCCUGGCCAGAAUCUACCUGGGAGCCUCCUGAGACCAGAGCUCUAGGAAUUCAUCUCCACAUUCCCCCAGUGCACAGCUCAGCAUCCGGCACAUGGUAGGUAUGCAACAAAUAUUUGUAGAAUGAAAACUCUGCCCACUUGCCUAGCUCACUGCAAACUAUCUAUUCCUAUGCCCCUCUUCAACUUACAGGACCUUCUUGAUGGAUAAGCCAUUGCCUAUUGUCAUGUUCUCUGGCUGCUUUGCUAUUCCAACUCCAGGCCACUGACAGAGUUUCUGGGUCAAAUCUACCUACCCCACUCCCAAUAUGUGCCCUUUGCCACUGAGCACAUUCUAAGAGCCAACAUGCUAAGCAAGUUCUAAAGUCUGAUGGCUGGUUCAGUGUCCCAGACGCACCUUUUGCUUUUGGAAUCAGUCUAGUUUAAAGACUGAGUUUGGGCGAUCUGGUACCUUUUGACACCAUACACUUCCCUAGUCCAGGAUGGAAGGGACUCAAGUCCUGUUCAACAAGCUCUGCUGAACCCCAAUCCUGGUGUCAGGGAAGCUCUGCUUAAGAGCCUAAGGUAGACACAGAAAAUGUAUCACUAAAAUCUAAGAAAGAAGGGCUCCGGAAAGGUCUGGACAAUAACGCAUCAGUUUUUGCUUCUGUAAGGCUGCUCUAAACCUUACGAGGCAAAUAGGAAGCCUUAUUUUUACUUCUUUAUGUUUCCAGAUCAGCAGAGGAAAAGUACACAUACAACACAAAAGGAAAAUGAUGACCCAAAAUUUAGUCCUGGUCUCUGCCACUAAUUUGCUGUGUGACCUCAGGCAAGUUAUUCUCCUUCUCUGAAUCUCUAUAUCCUCCAUUGUAAAGUCAUAGGCUUAAAUUUAGUGACCCAUUUCUGAAGGCCCUUCUAUGCCUGACAUUUGGCAAUUCCCUUGCCACUCCCAGGGUAGUUCUCAGACCAUGGUAUCACCUGGGAGCUUGUUAGAAAAGCUGAGGAGCCCUACUGACUCAGACCUGCAGAACCAGAAUCUGCAUUUUAACAAGAUCCCCAAGUGAUUUGUAUGCACAUUAAAAUUUGAGAAACACUGUUCUACAGCUUCUCAGAAUGACCCAGGCCGACCUGGAGCAUGACAUCUUCUGCAAGAAGCUGAAAGAAGAAUGAGUCUGUCACAGGACUUUACUGAAUGUGAUUAGAAGCAGCUGGCCAGUAGUAAGGGCGGGGGAGAAAUGCUGCAAGAUCCUUUUAAACUCAGCUGUGAUCCAUAAAAUGUCUCUCAAGUACUUAGAAUCUCUAAAUUUGAAGUCUUUAGAUAAAAUGACUUUAAAAAUACUAAUUAUGCACGGAAGUCUAACCAUGAACCAACCAUUAGCAAAUCCAGAGCUCCUUCUGUACUGGCAUGCUGCCAACGGGCACAAACAAAGCUCUAAAAUUGGCAAAGAGGUCACCUCUGAAACCACAGCAUUUCUCCCAGCCUCACCUGUCUCCUGACUGGUCCUCUCCUACCAGAAUGCCAGUCUCAGUUGAAAUCCCACAGAGAAGACCACACUCAAAGGAACCUUGCCUGGGCCAGGACAGCAGGGCAGAGAGGGCCACAACCUCUAGGGUCACAGGCCCACAUAGGGAAGCAGAAAGGGAAGAAGCAGAGCAGAUGGGAAGUAGAAAGGGAAGAAGGAGAGAAUCGGAGUGGAAGCAGCACAGAGUAAACAAACCUAGUGGUGGAGACCCCUGCUUCCAAAUCCAGGGAGAAGCCACUUUCUGGCUCGGUGACCAUCCAACUGAGAAAGUCUAAUUCAGCCAAUGGGGCUUUGAGACAAACAGUGAAAUAUCCCAAGCCCCAGCUUGCAGUCUUGGCUCUAAACUAAUGGGCAGGCAGCUUCCCUAACCCUCCCUUCACUCCUUCAGAUGAGAGGUCAUCACUUGCUCCUCUGUUACCACUAAUCCUGGCAUGAGAGCAUGAGAGUCUACCGCACAAUGCUAUAGAAUUAGUCAUCUUUGUUCACAUGGCCACCUCACUCACUAUGCAAGGACUCACUAUCUCAAUUGUCUAUUUCCCCAGCAAUGGAAGGGACAGGAGAGUGAGAGAGGCAGAAGAGAGAGUGGAGGGGGAACUUGGACUUGAUGACUGUGCAGGUCAUCAGCAAGUUAGGCCUCUUCCUUGAGGAGCCCUCAGUGUCACAGUGCCCCUUUUUUUCAUCCUCAACACACCAUGAAAAAAUAACUUAUAACCUUCAGAGCCUAGCUCUGAAACUCCAUAUUGCACCUGCUAAUGGCUCCUCUUCCACCUUACAGUUUCAGAAUCAUAUAAUAACUACAUCGUCAGGGAGUAUUUCUGAUUACCUGAUUUCACCAACCAACUCAGAUAGAAAUCUCAAGUAGAGAUCUGACUAGAAAAUUAUCUGUAAGUCAUUAGUUACAGCUAUAGUCAGCCUCCAAAAAUCAGUCUUCAAGAUCUCCAAACCCUACACUGAACCUAAGGGAGCAAGAUGACAGGACUCCUGAUUGUCUUUGCUGUACUUCUUAAAUAAUUAAGCCUGCUCUUACUGUGCUGGGUGAUAUGAACAAGAUUGCUCCAAGCACCUACAGAAUGGGCUACCAUGCUAAGCCCCAUUCCUUACUUAGGGAGGGAUGUGGGCUCCUCUUUGUGAGCUAUAACUGAGAACUGCUCCCUGGAGGAUCUCUAAGACUCAGCUUCUGUAGAAUACUUACUCUGACCUCCAGCAUGAGGUGCCCAUGCCAACACACCCCCCUUGCCUAAUUUUGCAUUAGCAUACUCUCAUUUGUCUCACUCAUGGACUGCAAGCUUUGUGAGCACAGGACUGUAAAACUUUGCCUCUGUAUCUAUGGUGGCCUGCACAAAAGAGUCAUUUGACAAAUGUUUCAUUAGUGAAUGAAUGAAUAAACCAAAGAAAAAAACAAUAAACAAACAAGAAUCAAAGAUCAUUCACUCAGUUUUACCAGUGUCAGUCAAGACUGCCCUACAAAUUCAUUGAGAGCUAGGCUUUCUUCUCAGUCCGAAACCAGAAUAGAAAAGGGAGACCCCAGGGGGUCUGGGGAACUUGAAUCUGGCAAAAAUGGGAUUUAAGCUGGCUUGGAAUUUUUUCUAGACCAAGGUAUACUAACAAGUAGGCUAUUCUGACCUAUUUCAGGUUCUACAAUGUUUUAUGCUUCUCUUACCAGAACUUUCAGGUCAGAAAUUUAUUCUUUAGAAACUGGAUGUUGUUUAUAUUUUAAUUAUUAAAUGCAAUGUAAAAGUAUUCAGCACAUAGUCAUUGUCUAAAGUACUAAAAUUUGUUGAACCUCAAUCUAUAGAAUUCCAUUAAUAUUUCUCCAUGUCAUGAACUAGGAAUUUUGCAAAUAGAGGAAUUACAGAACCACUCUGGGCCACCCACUUUUGUGAAUAUAAAAUCACUUAAGUAAGGCAAGCUGACUUUGUUGGAAUAGCCUCUAUUUUUUCAUCCACUUACAUAACUUCACAUUGUCAAAGUGCACCAAUAACUGGUGCUGUCAUCUCUCCUGCCCCCAAGAAAAAACUCCUUUGGGGCUCUUUCUACAUUUAUUUUCAAUUGCCAGAUCCCCAGAGGAAAAAAUCAAAUCACUGACGCUAUUUCAAACUACAUGCUCAAGGCAGCCACUAAGAGGAUUAUAGGGCAGCUCAGCUUUUGCUCUCUUUGAGGCAGGAAGACACCCCAUGGCUGUGAAGGAAAGGCAGGACACGUGUGUGGACAUUCAAAAUAUAGCAAGGAAACCCAAAACAACAGAAAGACAAGAGGAGCUGGAGGAUAAAGCUGUUUGGGACUAUGAAUCAUUCUAAGGCAACCAGACCAUGACUGGGGGAACCUUAAUGUAAAAACUUCAUAAAGACCCCUUAAUCGUCUGGCAAUUCCAAACAAACAGAUCUCCAGGCCUCAACAAUACAUGACAUAUGUACCCAUGGAAGAAGAAACUACAGACCAAGUGUAUUGAGGAAACUCAACUAAAUGAGUUUCUAAUAAAAUUACACAAACAAAAACUUUUAUCCUGAUUUUAUUUUGCAUAACAAUAAAUGAAAUUAUUUGAAGAAUGAAAACUUUAUCUACAAUUCUACCACAAAUACCACAUCACAUCUUUUCUUUCAUUAUUCAAUAUUCCCUUCAAAUCCAUAUCUGAGCAUGAACAGAAUUUUACUCAGAGACAUGACCCAGAUCCCAUUUCUCACUUGAUUUAAAAGGUUUUUCUAACUAAGUCCUAUAGAGCCCUCCUGUUCCUUGGAUGUGCCUCAGGAGCUACCACAGAAGGGACACACCAGUAGGUAGCCAAGUGGUAAGGCUUCAUUCUGCCAUCCCCCAGUUUCCUAUCCCUGUUCCCAAUUCAAUCAGAACAGUUACAUUUUUAUCUGUUUUUUAAGGCUCUGCAUACAAUUUAUUCGAAAAUAAAACAAAAAUUGGUUCUACUACUACUAAGCAUUUAAAAACUAAGAAUGUAUGCCAUCAUGGAAUUUCAGAGCUAGAAAGAACCUUAGAGAACCAGUGCUUUUUUUUUUACAGAUGCUAAAAGGCGAUAAAGAGAAGAAAGACUUGCCCAAGCUUACAUAGGCAAUUAGGAACUAGAAUUAGAUCCCAGGUCUCCACCCCAACACAAAGGCCCUAUUCCUAAUUCAGGAAUUCAAUAAAUAUUUAUCAAAUGCUACUAUGUGCCAUGCACUAAUUUAAGUACUGAGAAGUCAAGAGACAAAAACAACAAACAAACAAAAAACACCACACCUGCCCUCAGGGUGCUUACAAUUUAGUAGAGGAAGAUAAAUAAUAAACACAAGAAAUGAGCAAAGUACAGUAUAUUAGAAGGUAAUAAAGCAAAGACAGGGGAUGGGGACACCUGAGUGGGGAGGUUAGAGGUUACAAUUAGUGAAUUUCCUCAAAGGCCACUGCCAUUAGGUCUUUAUGCACCUAUAAGAAUAUGUGCACAUGUGUUCAUAGGCUCACUUAUUCAGAAGAAGAAAUAAUCUAAUGGUUAAGUGUGCCUGAAAUUUCCCAGGACCCCAUCUAUUUUUGUUAAAUGGCACGCAAAGCAAAUUGGUAUAACAAGCAAGAUGUUAAAACUAUUUUGUAAAAAAUGUUAAAUAGUAUCCUAGAAGCACAUACAAACAUGCUAUUAAUUGCUGCACUUGGCUCUAGAAUAAGCCAAGAAUGUAGCAAAAUAGAGUUAGAAGUGAGGACCUGGCUGUCAGGCUUAUUCUCCUGAGUGACAUUGUCUAAGAUGAUUAAAUUCUCUGAGCCUCAGUUUCCCUAUCUGUAAAAUAAAGGAGCCAAAGUAGAUAAUUUCUAAGGUUCACUCAAAUAUCAAAGCCCUCUAAUGUGUCAAAACCAUUAUAUAAUAUCUUAGUAGUCAUAUCAGCAUUAUUAUUUGAAUCCAAAGUAACCCUAAUAAUAACACAUUACAUUUAUAGAGUUGUUUCACAGUUUUCAAUGUGUCUUCACAUGCAUUAUUCUCAUCUGACAAGUAACAGAACAGCAUUUUUUUUCCAUGUUCUUAUAAAAAAGUCUGUCCCCUCAAUCAAUCCAAGGGAACAUGAAGCUCUUUCUGCUCUCAAGGGCCAAGGAAACCAGCAAGCUCCUCACAGAGAGUCUUGCAGAGUUGGGGGUGUCAUUCAUUAGGGUUGAGGAUAGCAAAAGCACAAGGGAUACCUUCAAAACCCAUUCCACAUUUGAUGGGUAGAGAGAAUUUUCAAAUGAGGUGCUUCAGACACCCAGGCAUCUGCCACUAUACCAGUGAUGAGCACAGAGAUCAAGGACCAGAAUGCAAAUUUUAAUAAUAUUUGCCAUAUUACCAUAUAUAUAUAGAUAUAUAUGUCAAGAACUUUUGAAAUUCCUUUCAUCCAGGAAUCAUAUUUCUAGCAAUUUUUCCUGAGAACAUAAUCAGAGAUCUGACUAAAAAUUUUAAGCACAAAGAUGCUGAUUAUAGCAUAACUUUUAGCAGCAAAAACAUGGAAACCACCUAAAUUUCCAAAAAUAAUCACAUAGACUGUGGCAUAUCCAUAUAAUGGGACAUUAUUUUUAAAUGUUAAAUGAUUAUUUUAAAGAAUAUUUAAAUAAUAUGGUGGAAAUGUUCCCAAUAUAGUUGUAGGUGGAAAAUAUGGAUAUAAAGCAAAGAUGUUAUAUAUAUAUAUCAUAUUUUAAAAAAUUACGUGUUGAAAAAAUACAUUAGAAUGUUACAGUAGUUUUCUCUAGGUUGUAAAAUUAUGGAUGAUUUUGGUACUUUUCUAUAAUUCUACAAAGAGCAUGUAUUAUUUUUAUAACCACAAAUUUGAACUUAUUUUUUUAAAAAAUCCCUGUUUUACCUACCUCCCAGAGUAGUGAUAAAACCAAUACAAGGAUGAGCUUUCUAACAAUAAGAACUAUCCUAAUAUGUAAUCCCCAGGAAGGGGGUGCAAGCCAGUAUUAUGUGAACCCAUGGCCCCUGAUUAUGUUAUAUUAAGACUUUAGGAACCUGGGAUUCUAGAGCUAUCUGAGAAAUCUCUUUACUCACAGGAUGUGUCCAACAUGGUUGGCAAAGCAGGACUGGGUUGGCCUGGUACUUCCUGCAUAGUGCCCUGAUGCUCAGUGGCAUGACUAUUAGAGAUAAAGCAAGCAGUCAGUAACCAGGAAACAGAGAUCCUCUGGGGGACCAACGCUAGCAGCCAAUGGCCACUAUGCCCUUACCAGCUUCUACUUCCCCAAGUGGUAAAGGCCCCUCUGCCCAGCAAACAUGUUGCUAGGACUUCUGCUACUGGUUCUAGGGUACUGUGCCAUGGUAACUUCCCUGAGGACCUAAACUGGUCCUAAGACUUCGUUCUGCAACUCUAGUCUCUGGCAUGCCAUGGGAGAGAAAAGGAGGAGUAAGAUUGUUAAAUACAACCCUAAGAUAUUUUUUGUUUUGCCCAUCAUUGGUUUGGCCCACUAAGUGUUUUAAAAGACAAUAUACCUGGGUAAGGGUUUGGCUUGGUCACAAUAUGUUAUAAGCAACUCAACUUACACCUAUAGCCCUGCAGGCACCUAAGCUUGAGAUAGGAAAACUGAGAUCCAAAGAAGCAAAGUGACUUGUUGAAGGCCAUGCAGCAAGUUAUUGGCAAAUUGGGUCUAGAAUUCAAGGGUCCUGACUUCUAGUUCCAUGUAUUACAUUACAGAAUCCUCAGCUCUUCAGGGACUCCAGACCUCUGACAUUAGGAGGGACCCUAGCCUCUUCCACCUUCCAUGGGUCUCCCCGCCCAAGAUUGCAGGAUACUUUAGCUUUUCAGUUGUCAAUGACAGAAACAUGGGGAAAUAUGAAGUUCAUACUUGGAGUCAGGAGUAACUGAUAGUGAGCAGAGAAAGAGGACAUCUUAGGAAUAUAUGGCUACAUUGAGUAAUAUAGAACCAAAGUUCUAUAAAGAACGUGAAAUGGCAUCUAAUGCUAAGUAGAUAAGUAAAUAAGGCUGCAAACAUCCAUACAGCUCACGAGAGACAGGCAGGGAUACUCUGUGGGUAUCAGGAGAGGCUGAUGUGUGGACGCAUGGGUGUUAGGGAAAGACGAGAAAUUUUGGCCUUGGUUUCUUGGCCCUCUUUAGCUUGGCAAUAGAUUUACUCUCAUCAGACAGUGAACUAACUGUUGUAGGACAGAGCAUAACAACUGUGAUAAAUUCUGAAUGAGUGAAUGUUACAUCCUGGGCUCCCUCUGCAAGACAGUGACUAUUACUGUGCCGUGGGAAGGAGAGCAGGAGUCUGGUGUGUAUAUUUUCCUACCAUUCUAUAUCUACAUAUUCUCAGAAAACAAAUGAUAAAAGAGUAAAAGGUAAAGCAAGGACAUGAGGAAGACAGUGUGGCAGAACAAGGAGAAGGAGAAAGGAAGAUUAGGGUAGAGGAUAGUAGAAAAGCAUAUUUUAAUAAUAAAUAAUUUAGAUGACAAGCCUAGAAAUACGUUUUUUUCUUUCCAAUUUAAAAAGGAAAAUGGACUUCAUUAUUCUGACUUCUAUUCACACACUGACCUGUCUCCACUUCCCUCCUGAGCCUGUUGGUUUCCAAGAUAAUGCAGUAUCAAGGUAAAUCAGACAAGAGCAUUUGAAUGUGGACAGAAAAAUCCACUCUCAGCCCUACCACUUGCACUGGAAUACUGUGAACUGCCAUGAGUCUUCUCAGGUGGGAAGACUGCUAAAAACAGUGAAUUAAUUUGGUUGUUUCAGUGCGGAGAAGCUGUGGUGCCACCUCGCUGCAUGAAUACAUUGUGCUACCGGCUUCCUCUGGCUCACCCAGGUGUGCCCAGGCAUCACAGGCAGUGUGACUCCUUAGGGAUGGGACAGUCUUUGGCAGGGAGGGAGAGUCAAUGAGCUGGAAGGGAGCAAUGACACAAGGGAUAUCCCAAAAGUGCAAACCCAAAGAACAGGACAGCCUCUGGGUCAAAUCCAUAGCUCAGUGGAACCCUGUCCAUCUGGUAGCAGACGGCUGUUCUAGACUCAGCUAUUCCCUUGUGAAAACCUCUUUGGUAAUGGUGUUGUCAGUCCCUUUCUCAGUCCAAUGCUCAGACAUCAUCAAGCCAUACAACCAGGAAUGUCACAAAGAUUUUCAGCAAUAAAAACAGCAGAAGGAACUGUUAUUUACUUAUUUUAUUUUGAAUUAAAGGUAUUAAUUACAGAAGAAAGAGCCCCAGAAAAACUUUCUAAUAAAACAGGCAGUGUACUCCCCAGCUUGGUUCCUCCUUCCCACUGCCAGUCUAACAAUGAAGAGGAAAGCUGAAUGGUAAGGGGUCUAGCAAACAGUCCAAUCUACUAGGUGCAACAGGGAAGGUGGAAGAGCAUGUUUCAGAGCUAAAAGAGGAAACCCAAGCUACCUUGCACCCUCAACAUUCCUGUCCUCAUGGGCAAGAUAUCAACAUCCCAGGAUGCUAGCAAGCCACCUGGGAUGGCAGAAAGGACAGCACACUACAAGUCACUAUAUCUGGGUGGCAAGGCCCAGCUCUGCCACUGAUAUGCUGUGCAGUCUUUGGACCAAUGCUUAGCCUCUAUGAGUUCUAGUGUCCCAAUCUGUAGAACAGAGAUAAUAAUGUGAACCUAAUAAUAUUAUUAGCAGAAAUAAAUGAGACAGUAUACAUAUGGAAUGUUAGGUAAGGAAGCCCUCAAACACUGUCAGUUUCCCACCCCCACCCAGUCCCACACACUCGUUUCUUUUUAAAAAAAAUUAUCGGUCUUGAGGGGUCCUUUCUAUUAAAAGUUUUCCAUCAGCCUCACACUGGAGAAAGUAAAUGCAAACCACUGCCCAAUGUCAGAUCACCCACAGCUAAAGGCAGGCUCAAAGUCACUGUACUUCUGAAUUGUGGCCAAAAUCAUUAGAAAUAGGAAGUUUCCUUUUUUUCUAAUAAUUUGUUUCUCCUCCAACAUUUUAUUAUAAAAAUUUUCAAACAUACGGAAAGGCUUAAAUACUUGUAUACAAUUAGCACCCAUAUUCCUACUACCUGGAUUCUACAGUUAACUUUUGCUGUAUUUGCUUUAUCACAUAACAGGCCAUCCCUCUCUCCAUUCAUCAAUCUACCUUUUUUAAUGCAUUUCAAAAUAAGUUGCAGAUAGAAGUGUCCUUCACAUAUGCUUUGAUGAGUUUUUCCCCAAAUUUUUUUAUUGUGGCAAAAUACACAUAACACAAAAUUUACCAUCCUAACCAUUUUUAAGUG
Non-coding RNA from Microcebus murinus (gray mouse lemur), 11108 nucleotides. NCBI's taxonomy places the organism in Eukaryota, Metazoa, Chordata, Mammalia, Primates, Cheirogaleidae. The record is from RefSeq and is a predicted model, not a curated record.